CGGGGUGAGUAAUGUCUGGGAAACUGCCCGAUGGAGGGGGGUAACUACUGGAAACGGUAGCUAAUACCGCAUAACGUCGCAAGACCAAAGAGGGGGACCUUAGGGCCUCUUGCCAUCGGAUGUGCCCAGAUGGGAUUAGCUAGUAGGUGGGGUAAUGGCUCACCUAGGCGACGAUCCCUAGCUGGUCUGAGAGGAUGAUCAGCCACACUGGGACUGAGACACGGCCCAG
This 229-nucleotide ribosomal RNA is filed under the name uncultured bacterium. Its description in RNAcentral is "partial 16S ribosomal RNA". It matches the Rfam family "Bacterial small subunit ribosomal RNA", at positions 104 to 334 of the family's 1533-position model. The record is from RNAcentral.